RNAcentral lists this transfer RNA (72 nucleotides) under Marinifilaceae bacterium. RNAcentral describes it as "tRNA-Glu". It matches the Rfam family "tRNA". Rfam says of the family: Transfer RNA (tRNA) molecules are approximately 80 nucleotides in length. The record is from RNAcentral. Lineage: Bacteria; Pseudomonadati; Bacteroidota; Bacteroidia; Marinilabiliales; Marinifilaceae.
GGCGCUAUCGUCUAGGGGCUAGGACGUAAGAUUCUCAUUCUUAAAACCAGGGUUCGAUUCCCUGUAGCGCUA